UACGAAGGGUGCAAGCGUUACUCGGAAUUACUGGGCGUGAAGCGUGCGUAGGUGGUUCGUUAAGUCUGAUGUGAAAGCCCUGGGCUCAACCUGGGAAUGGCAUUGGAUACUGGCGACCUAGAGUGCGGUAGAGGGUGGCGGAAUUCCCGGUGUAGCAGUGAAAUGCGUAGAUAUCGGGAGGAACAUCCGUGGCGAAGGCGGCCACCUGGACCAGCACUGACACUGAGGCACGAAAGCGUGGGGAGCAAAUAGG
This 253-nucleotide ribosomal RNA is filed under the name uncultured bacterium. Its description in RNAcentral is "partial 16S ribosomal RNA". It matches the Rfam family "Bacterial small subunit ribosomal RNA", at positions 524 to 776 of the family's 1533-position model. The record is from RNAcentral.